AGUGAUAGUUGAUAGGAAGUGAACCUGCUUAUGUGAAUGAGAAUCUAGUAUGGUAUAACUAAUGUUUGAGAACAACAAACUUGACGAGUGGCAUCUAGUUAACAUUUAACUUGACGAGUGGCAUCUAGUUAACGUUGAACUUAGGAGAGAACUAGUUCCCAAGUGAUGUUGUCUAGAGUGGUAGGGUAUCCUCAGUGACGGGGAUUUGACCAUACUCAUAUGUCUGUUCAAAGCUUGGUGUGGUCGCUCCACACAAGCAGUGCACUCCGGAGUCGUCACAUGAUAGGGAUAGCCGUUUGGGUCCCGAGGGAUAGCCGUUUGGGUCCCGCAGACAGUCUUGGGCGAGUGAGCUGAUCCUCCCCAGGUGAGUUGGGUGAGUGAGUUGAUCCUCACCUAUGAGUUGAGAUUGGGUUGUCGUACCUAUGUUGAGAGUCGGGCGAGUGAGCGGAUCCUCCCCGUUGUGUUUGGAUUGUGAGUCGGGUGAGUGAGCAGAUCCUCCCCGUUGUGUUUAGAGUGCGAGUCGGUGAGUGAGCGGAUCCUCACCUAUGUGACUGAGUAGACGAGCAUAGUAGUAUGAGAUAGGCUACCUAUUAUGUUGCAGUUUAUACAUGUACUUCUGUUGAAAGCAUAGUAUCAUGAGAUAGGUUGCACAUUAUUAUGUAGUUCAUGCAUUCAUAGCAUUGGAUUGAGGCAUAGUUGGAUAUUAGCAUCGCUUUACAUUAUGCUUACCGUUACUGCUUUCAUAUAUAUCUACCUAUCUUUCCGUCUUCGUCUUCCUAUGCCUGCUUAGACCUAGUGGGUAGAUCGGCGGAGUCGGCGGCCGAACCCACUGGGAACUAUAUUCAUAUAGUUCUCACCCCGUGUGGUUUGGGGUACAGGUACUGUCACGCCCUGGGCUUCAGCGGAAGCUUAUCAGCAACGUGCACAGAUCCGCCGUGUACAUUUCUACCUCAAGAGUACACCAGGCGUCUACAAACAAUAUAGUGAAAUCAAGUGAAUCUAACCAGGUAAUCAGAGCACGACUUAACAUUAAAGUAAACUUAUACAGCUCGAAAUCUUAUUACAACUUAAACAGUAAAGAACAUUCUGUAACAGUCCCAAGGUACAACACUGAGCUAAAUUAACAGAAACUGGUAGUGGUUCAUCUAUUUAACGUCGAGAAAGCUCUAUUUGGCCGUUGACCCCUCGCCAGGAAUCCCUAACCUUUCCCGCUGUGGAAGGCUCUAUAAAACAACAAUAAAAAGAGGGCGUGAGAACUAUUAGACAAUAGUUCCCAGUGGGCAAUUACUGACUUCAGUGAAAUGCACCACUAGGCUAACCUAAGAAUGCUGUAAAAAAUAACUGAACAAGCAAGUAUGAAAUACAAGUAUGAAGAGUAAGUAUGAAUAUCAAUUCAUCAUAUAUGCUAAGGACAAUUUAAAGUCAUAUACUAGUUUGCAUGCAAAUAUUUCAUUACAUCAGGAUUAACUGAAUAUGUUUUGUAACUACAUCUUAUAUUAUUAAGAGUGUAACAUACUGUCACUACGUUAUCAGUUAAUCAAGAUGUCAAUCUGUAAGCCUGUUUUCAUUAAGUUACCUAGCCAAUGACAUAAAGUAGCCUUACUACUAUGUUUAUCUCAGAUUAAAAUAACUCAUGAUAACCCAAUUCACAGUAGACUUACACAAGGUAAAGUCAUAGCCGCGCCGUGCCUAAUGGCCCCGUGGUAGUAUACACUCCCCACAGCAAUCCACUUCGGCGCUCAAAUCCAAACACAAGUGAGCAAUCUGUCACUAAGCUACUCCGGAGUGCUGGGCUUGGGGGGCGCGACCCCCACAAGCGUGUGCGAAAGAGCGUAAUGGCAUACAAGCUGUAAUCCAUAGUACCAGUAUCACAACAUCAUCAUGUCCUUGACAUGGAAUCUCAACUCGACUCAGGGUCGACACUGUAGUACUCAAGUUACCUGUCACUCUCAACUACUUGUUGACAUAAUUCUCAUAAUAGCUAGUAUAACUUAAUAAGUUCAAACUUUACAUCAUAAUAGUAAUUCUAUCAGGCUAUACCUGUACAUUAACUUCUAGUCCUCUCACUACUCCUUAUUCAUAAGGAAAGUGGUUCAUUGAAGUCAUCUCUAAUGACUCAUGGCACAUUCUAGAGUUCAGCAUAACUUCCCGCUAUUUGGAGUAAACCACUAAUGUACAAUAGUUUCUACUUGAUCAUACCAGUCUAUUGUCAUGUUCGACUCUAGGUAUUCCAAGGUCUUAUUCAGAUUAUAACAUUCAUGUUACCAAUAUUUGAUAAAAGCAAUGACCAACUUGUCCAUAUAAGCAUGUGACAUUAUUAGACGUGGUAUGUUAAGAGUUCCAUUAAUCGAUACAAGUAACUCAAAAAUAUAUCCUUCACUUAGUAAUCCUGCAGAAUUAAAUGUCAUGCUCAUAAUUUUACAGUUAACAUAUCUGGAAGGAUGUGUACUUUACUUAUUUGCACUAUUACAUUCAUAACCUGAAUACAUGCUAAGUAAGCACAGUUUAUAUGAAUCCGGCAAUUUCAUAAUUCGUCCUUUACCAUAUACAGGUUUCAUGGUAUGCAAUCUAAUGUACAUUCUGCUGCAUAAUUUCAUCUCAAGAUCCUCAUCCCUUUGAUGUCUGGUAAAGUUAAAAGUCACCUCAAGCUUUCCACCAUUCCUUCCUCUUGAAGGGUGUCAGCUCUACGAGCUUAUACGAGCUAAUACAAGCUAUUCAUUUUAUGAACAUGCACAAAUGGAGCAAUUAUUCUAUAUGAAGUAAACAACUUCAAAGUUCUUCCACUAUUACUCAACGAUACUCAGCAUGAUAGGCGCAUUAAUAUAUGUCUUGAUUCCAAUAAGUAUACAUGCAUUCAUAUACAUAUGCAAUAACCUUGACUCAUAAGUCAAAGGAAACAUAGAGAAACUUACUCAUUUCAAGGAGGUCAAACCCACCUGUUUGCUGUCAACUUUUGUUGCUCCCAUAAUAGAAGUAAUCUAUUAUAGUGCUAGAGCUUGAAUCUCAAUUUUGAUUCAGGUUGGGACACCAAAUUCCAUCGUAGAAAGCUCUCUAAUUUCAGCUGAACAAGAUUAGAUAGCCUGCUGCAAGUUAGUAUCAAAACGGCACCAAUAUACAUCUCAAAUUGUAUAGUAGAAACCAGAAUUUCACCUAGGUUUAGCUUAAUGCUAAUCCUUUACUUUAACAUCAGUUGAAGCAUCCCGAUUCCAGCUCUCAAUGGUCACUAAUUCAUCUCAAAGAGGCUUAAUCUCCUGCUGAAUUGGUAUAAAAACUGUUCCAAAGUUACAGCUAAUCCAAUCAAUUAAAGAACUAGUGGGUAAUAUACCUUCCAAUGGCUUUAGUUCAGUUCUAAAAUAGGUAAACAUAGGUCAAGCCAGCUUCAGAAAUCAUCCCAAGUUCAGAUAAGAUGUUCACAUUUUCUGCUGGAACUAACCACCAAUUCAGCACCAAUUACUAAUACUACUAUUACUAUUUCAGCAUUAGAAUAGAGGAAGUAGCCAUUUAAUCACCUUCCCAUCAUCACCUCAGCUUUUCUUUAGCUCAGGAUCCAUGAUUCACCCUCAGAGUUUAUUGCCAAUACCGUCAAAACCAGGCGCAAGGUUCAUCAAGCUUCCUGCGGUGACCUCGCUGCAAAACAGUUCCCAAAACUGCAUCAACAUACACCCUACCAUAUUCCAACAGGGAAGAAAGUAACUAGUUGAUCUUCUCAAACUCAUAACUCAGCUCCAACUGAGUUAGGGUACUAUAAAAUACCCUAAAUAUCUACCAAAUCAUUCUCUCAACCAGCUGUAAACAAGAGAUUAAGAACUCACCUCAUCUUUAUUCCAUAGCAUCAAUUAAGGGAAAGUUGAGUACUUUACCUUACUCAGCUAUGAUCCCUAUUUCUAUUGAGUUAAGGCUGUGAAUACCCUCUCCCAAGAUCAUUUCCCUUCCUCUCCAAAGCUGCUCCAAGUUCUCCAAAUCAGUAAACACCAAAGAGAGGGAAAGAAAUCAGCUCCAAAACCUUGCUUCCUUGUAGAGAGAGAAAAACUCUAGAGAGAGAGAAAGAGAGGCAGCUCCCCCUGCUUCUCAAAGCUUCCAGCUGAUAAGAACAAGCUAGGGGUCGAGCUGAGCUGAUAAGGAUCAGUUAGGGAAGUGAAAAGACCGAAAAAACCCUGCUGCCACGUAACUGCUGUGUUGGUGCUUGCUGUACCGGUACAGCAUCAACCCUGUACCGGUACACAUUGCAAAAUCUGCUCAAUAGGCAGUAGCAAUGCACUUCGUCAUUCCCUGCCAUUAACUCACUCUCAUACUUGUCCACUACCCUCUCUAAACCCAUUAGAACAUGUAGGAUAGUUCCAUUUGUUAUCCCCACUCGUCAGACUUCAUAAUCAGUCAAAUUUAAAUAUCCCCUUUGAACUUCGCACUUCCAUGUCACAAGAGCAACGCACUUUUACCCUUCCGGCUGUUUAAUCACUCUUAUAACUAGUCAAGGACCCCCUUGCCAAUCUUUAAAAAAUGUGAGUUAGCUCCAGAUACCAACCCCACAUUCGAAUUUCACAAUUAACCAAAUUCGGGGUAUACAAAUUUGAUAGUGCAUUUGUGAUGCGCUUUUCCACUUCUGGCCUCUUGCUUGCUUUAGUAACUUACUGGAAACCUCUCAUAAUCCUUCAGAGAUCGUAGAAUAGUUCCAACUACUAUUCUACCACUUGAGCUACGCAAUUCGCCCCAAAGUUCAGUGUAUUACAGGUACACACGAGAGAUCUCCGGCCGAGGACCGCGGUAAGGGCUUAGCGCC
Molecule: long non-coding RNA, 4777 nt
Filed under: Ananas comosus (pineapple)
Lineage: Eukaryota; Viridiplantae; Streptophyta; Magnoliopsida; Poales; Bromeliaceae
Description: long non-coding RNA (ACOM_LNC009989)
Source: RNAcentral